CUGCCUGUAAGACUGGGAUAACUCCGGGAAACCGGGGCUAAUACCGGAUGGUUGUCUGAACCGCAUGGUUCAGACAUAAAAGGUGGCUUCGGCUACCACUUACAGAUGGACCCGCGGCGCAUUAGCUAGUUGGUGAGGUAACGGCUCACCAAGGCGACGAUGCGUAGCCGACCUGAGAGGGUGAUCGGCCACACUGGGACUGAGACACGGCCCAGACUCCUACGGGAGGCAGCAGUAGGGAAUCUUCCGCAAUGGACGAAAGUCUGACGGAGCAACGCCGCGUGAGUGAUGAAGGUUUUCGGAUCGUAAAGCUCUGUUGUUAGGGAAGAACAAGUGCCGUUCAAAUAGGGCGGCACCUUGACGGUACCUAACCAGAAAGCCACGGCUAACUACGUGCCAGCAGCCGCGGUAAUACGUAGGUGGCAAGCGUUGUCCGGAAUUAUUGGGCGUAAAGGGCUCGCAGGCGGUUUCUUAAGUCUGAUGUGAAAGCCCCCGGCUCAACCGGGGAGGGUCAUUGGAAACUGGGGAACUUGAGUGCAGAAGAGGAGAGUGGAAUUCCACGUGUAGCGGUGAAAUGCGUAGAGAUGUGGAGGAACACCAGUGGCGAAGGCGACUCUCUGGUCUGUAACUGACGCUGAGGAGCGAAAGCGUGGGGAGCGAACAGGA
This 666-nucleotide ribosomal RNA is filed under the name Bacillus sp. 10BFS. RNAcentral describes it as "bacterial SSU rRNA". It matches the Rfam family "Bacterial small subunit ribosomal RNA", at positions 126 to 777 of the family's 1533-position model. Lineage: Bacteria; Bacillati; Bacillota; Bacilli; Caryophanales; Bacillaceae. The record is from RNAcentral. RNAcentral also lists the same sequence under 8 other names.